GCAGCAGAUGAGCCUGUAGAGCUGGAAGCAGAGCUGCAGGAAGGUGCAGAGCCAUGGGAGACAGUUCCCCUCCUUCCCCCGGGCUCUGCUGGGGGCUCAGGCAGGAGCCGGGCCCCAGGCCCAAGAGGCUGUCGGAUUCCGCAGGGCAGGCGCAGGCCCUGCAGUCAGCUAAGAAAGCCUGCGUGCUGAGGCGAGGCUGCAGCACUCCAGAUCCAGCAGGGCACCCUCUCCUCCCUUCCCCAGGCUCGGGCUGCUCCCUUUUCCUGGAUGAGAGCGGCCAGGACGAGCUGGGUGCCAGUUUUUCCGUGUCCAAGUACAAUGACGUGGCCAUUUCCCUGGACGUCAGCAGGUGCUUCGACGACAGCGAGCUGGACGAUUCCCUGCUGGAGCUGUCAGGCAGCGAGAAAGGGAGUUCUCCCUUUGAUUACACCGAGGAGGAGAUCCAGGAGAUCUUGGCUGAUGAUUCCAUGGAAGCUGAGCAGCAGCAGCAGCAGCACCUGGCUGGGGAAAGCCACCUGAGCCAAAGUGACAGCGGAGAGAGCGACAAGGCGGAGAGCGACUGCGCCACGGGGACAUCAGCCAGUGAAUCGGCCUCAGAGGGACCAAAGGAAGCUCAGGAGCCUCUCUCAGGCAGCUCUGGGUGUGAUCCUGGUUUUUUCACUCUGGAUGGGGCCCAGCUGCAGCAGGAGCUGGACCUUGACCUGCAGGAGCUGCUGAGCCUGAGCCCGUUCGCCGCCGCCUGCGCCGACGAGGCUCUGGAGGAAAAUAACCUGGAAAGAGAAACUUUGGAUGCAAUGAUAGAUGAUUGCUUGGGAUAUUCCACAGCUGCUGGGAGCUGCAUUCCUGAAAAAUCCACGGAGGGGGUGACGCCCAAAGGCCAGGAAAGUCAGGAUUGCCUGGGAAAAUCCGUGUCCUCAUCCGACCUUCCCUGUGGCCAGAGCACAGGGGAUGAGGGUCCAGCAUCUGCCUUGCCACCAAAACAAGAACUUCCCAAAGCAACCACGAGCUGUUCCUCCAGGAAAUCAGGCUCUCCAGAGGAUGCUGAAAGGGAAUCCACAGGAGCUGAGCAGCCACCAGGCAGCACUAAAUCAAGUGACACAGCUGGAGGCCAGACUGGGCAGGAAGAGCCACCCGGUGGGAAGAAAAGUGGCAGAGUAAUUCCUGUCCCACAGGAGGAGGAAGAAAGGCCGAAACAACGGAUCUGCGUUUCAGAAGCUCAGCCUGAGCAAAAGAAACGUUUCUCUGCAGGCUGUGCCCAUCCAAGUGAGGAAAAGUGUGGCUAUUACCUCAGGUGGUUCGUAGAUUUUAUUCCCAGAGUGGGACAAGACUUUGGACACCAAGCAGAAUUUCUCCCUGCCUUGAACGUGCAGAGACUGAGACAGAGAGAAUGGAAAUAAUUUGGCCUGAGGAUCAGCAGUGAAGCUUGGAGCAGAGCCUGACUGCACAAACUCCCAGAUCUCACAGAAUCCAGGCAGGAAGGAACCCAUGGACAGCACUUUUUGGGGCUGGGGCAUGGCCAGUGUCAGGGCUUUGGGAUGUGUCAGGUCCUUGGUGCCACCAGAGCCUUUCAGGUGACUUUUCCCUCUGUAAAUUUUAUUUACAGAGAGCUUUUGCAUUGGGGGCAAAGGAAAAAAAUAAAUUCUUUGGAAGCCACGUGAGAGUUGCCAGCCCGUGGUGGUUCCUGGAUUUUAAACCACUGAACCCCACUAAUUAAGUUCUUUGAAAAAGAAAUAAUUUCCCUGUGCUCUGGGGACAAUUUCACCUGAUAUCCAUGAAAUCCCAGCACGGUUUGGGUUGGAAGGGACAUAAAGAUCAUUCAGAUCAUCUCAGUCAGGGCAGGGACACCUCCCACUGUCUCAGGCUGUUCCAAUCCCUGUCCAACCUGCCCUUGGACACUUCCAGGGAUGGAAAUUCCCAGCGAGCAGCUCCUGACCGUGCCAGGGAGAUGCUGAUGGUGUCUCCAGGGACAGGAGAGGGAGGUGUGUGUGUUCUUUGGGAAUGUCAAACUCUGCCAUGGAGCAGCUCUGCCCUUUGGGAAGGAUUGAGGCUUUCUGGGCAGCUUCAGGGCUGCAAAUUUCCCACUGUGACGUUGCAAAUGAUUCACAUCUGAGUGGUGGAGAGAGGAGGGAGGGAUUGUGGAUUAAUCCUCCAUGCAAGGACAGGGUGUUUUGCUGUGUGUUUGCUGUUACAGAGUAGCCAAAGGCCCUGCUGAUGAUUUUUUUGCUGUGGUAGAACCCAGCGAUAUCAAUAAAAACUGGAAUAAAACUGCCUUUGUGCAAGCUCUGAUGAAAUGCCCGACAAUUAAAAAUUGGAUUGUGUUCAUCAAUGGAUUCCAGCCAGCCAACAGCAGCUGGAAAACGACAACACUGAAAUGAAACCACUCUGUGUGGGGGGUUUUUUUUCUGCUUUUCUCUCAAAACUAACCAGCUCUUCCCUGUAAGGAGGAAGAAACGACACCCUGAAAAGGGAAAUAGUGGAAGCUGAUCAUAUUUUCCUUUUGGUUUGAGGGGAUAUUUAGGUGCAGAGCAGGUCUGGAUGGUACAAAUAGGUUUUAUUUGGCAGUCGGUGGCGUUAAAGGCGGGGGUUUUGUGACUUCAAAAGGACAACGAUGCUGCAAAGUGUCAAAUGGCAUCUCGGGGCUCUGUCACUAUUGCCACUCCAUGGUUCUGCUUCCAGCACGCCCAGAUUCCAAGGAAAAAGAGGAUUUUUGUGGCUGCCAGCUUUGCUGCCUCCAUCUGAGAAUCUGGAAUUCAAGCUGUGCCUUCCCCGGCUCUGUCGCUAAUAAUGAAGAUUCUUCAUUUGGAACUUACUUAACCAAAAUUGAGGCUGAAGGAGAAUCCAGCUCCUUUUCUUUCCCCCCCCCCUCAAGACGUGUGGGCUGCAGCACCACCAAGGGGGAAGAGCAUCAUUUUAAUGCCUGAGGUCACCAAACAAUUCAAUAGACGCCAGAUUUGUGGAGGAAACAGAAGAUAUUUUAGCAUAACAAGCGUGUGUUGAUGGAGCAGCUUUUUAACACACGCUGGAGAAGAAUUGAAUUUGGUCAGCUCAGCUUCCAGACGAGGCUGUAAUAGCUCAUUACACAUCGUUAGGAAGCUUUUUUUUUUUUUUCUUUUUUUUGCUGCAAAUCUGGGGGAAAUUACA
Molecule: long non-coding RNA, 3141 nt
Filed under: Cyanoderma ruficeps (rufous-capped babbler)
Lineage: Eukaryota; Metazoa; Chordata; Aves; Passeriformes; Timaliidae
Description: lncRNA (ENSCRFG00000010651.1)
Source: RNAcentral